AACGAACGCUGGCGGCAUGCCUAACACAUGCAAGUCGAACGAAGCCUUCGGGCUUAGUGGCGCACGGGUGCGUAACACGUGGGAAUCUGCCCUUCGGUUCGGAAUAACAGUUAGAAAUGACUGCUAAUACCGGAUGAUGACGAAAGUCCAAAGAUUUAUCGCCGAAGGAUGAGCCCGCGUAGGAUUAGGUAGUUGGUAGGGUAAUGGCCUACCAAGCCGACGAUCCUUAGCUGGUCUGAGAGGAUGAUCAGCCACACUGGGACUGAGACACGGCCCAGACUCCUACGGGAGGCAGCAGUGGGGAAUAUUGGACAAUGGGCGAAAGCCUGAUCCAGCCAUGCCGCGUGCGGGAAGAAGGCCU
RNAcentral lists this ribosomal RNA (361 nucleotides) under uncultured bacterium. RNAcentral's name for it is "bacterial SSU rRNA". It matches the Rfam family "Bacterial small subunit ribosomal RNA", at positions 29 to 417 of the family's 1533-position model. The record is from RNAcentral.